AUUGAACGCUGGCGGCAGGCCUAACACAUGCAAGUCGAGCGGUAACAGGAAGAAGCUUGCUUCUUUGCUGACGAGUGGCGGACGGGUGAGUAAUGUCUGGGAAACUGCCUGAUGGAGGGGGAUAACUACUGGAAACGGUAGCUAAUACCGCAUAACGUCGCAAGACCAAAAAGGGGGACCUUCGGGCCUCUUGCCAUCGGAUGUGCCCAGAUGGGAUUAGCUAGUAGGUGGGGUAACGGCUCACCUAGGCGACGAUCCCUAGCUGGUCUGAGAGGAUGACCAGCCACACUGGAACUGAGACACGGUCCAGACUCCUACGGGAGGCAGCAGUGGGGAAUAUUGCACAAUGGGCGCAAGCCUGAUGCAGCCAUGCCGCGUGUAUGAAGAAGGCCUUCGGGUUGUAAAGUACUUUCAGCGGGGAGGAAGGGAGUAAAGUUAAUACCUUUGCUCAUUGACGUUACCCGCAGAAGAAGCACCGGCUAACUCCGUG
This 490-nucleotide ribosomal RNA is filed under the name uncultured bacterium. RNAcentral describes it as "partial 16S ribosomal RNA". It matches the Rfam family "Bacterial small subunit ribosomal RNA", at positions 30 to 507 of the family's 1533-position model. The record is from RNAcentral.